Molecule: long non-coding RNA, 2944 nt
Organism: Cercocebus atys (sooty mangabey)
Lineage: Eukaryota; Metazoa; Chordata; Mammalia; Primates; Cercopithecidae
Exons: 3
Source: RefSeq, a predicted model, not a curated record
UAAGCGACACAGUCCUCAAGGACAGCACCAAGGCCUGUGGGUAGAAGCUACAGAGAAGCAGAAAGUCCUUCUGCUUUUAGCAAAUCCAAAAGGCAAAUCUAUCAAAAGCUGGGCUGGACCAACUCAAGAGAUGGCGAGCUCCCCACGCCUGGAGAGACAGACGCAGUGACUGAGUGACUGAAUGACCACUUGGCAGGACGAUGGGAAAGGCAUUCUGACAUUGGCUGGGGUUGGACCAAACGGCCUUGCAUGCUUUAAUCAUACCCACUUUGGGAGGUGAGGAAAGGCCCCCAGGAUGCGUGCCCAGUUAUGUAUGGGCAAGCGCGUAUGCCCUACCAUGACCUGCAAGGCCCCUGAAGGCACCACCCAAUAGAACUUCCAGGGAUGAGGAAAAUGUUCUAUAUCUGUGCUGUCCCAGCUAUCGAAUACUUGAUACGUGGCUACUGAGACUAGAAGGAAACUUCUCCUUUCUUUAACUUCAGUUAAACAGCCACAGGUUGCCAGUGGCUCCCAGAUUGUACAACAUUGCCAUCCAUCCCCGCCGCCUCCUCACACUCUCUCUGGCCUUUUCUCCCACUGCUGUCCUCCGCCUCACUCCACUUCAGCCCCACUGGGCUCCUCAUUGUCCCUAGAGCACGCCAAGCACACGCCCACCUCAGAGCCUUCCCUGGCCCCUCCCUCUCCUGGGUGGCUGUCCCUGAUGCAGCCCCCUGGCCAACUCUUUCAGCUCCGUGUCUCUGCUUCAAUGUCAACGAGGCCUUCUUCAGCGAGGCCAGCCCUGACCAUAUAUUUUGAAAGGCAACUUGCCUGACCACAGGCUCUGUCUUUAUGUACGUCUGUUGUGUUGUCUGUCUCCCCAGCGGGAGGGCAAGCAUCAUGAAGGUGGGAUCUUCAGGUUUUCUUCCCCAAGAGCCUAGAACAUUACCUGGCAUGGAGCAGGCUCUCAAUAAGUACUUAUUGGAUGUAUUUCAAGGCUGAAAUGAGUAACACGGAGGGUGCCCCAUGCUGUGGGUUCUUCCCAUUACAGGGUGUUUAAGGCCUGAUAUUAGUCAGUCAACCAGGCUUCCUGGGCCACACACACCUGCUGGGUGCUACGCCAGGUGCUGGCACCUGGGACCGGGCUGCCAGGGGCACAUAAAACAGGAAACCCAGACUAGAAGGGAGCUCAGAGCUCCUCCGAGGAAGAAACAGUCAAGCUGAGUGAAGCCAGAUGAAGAGAGUAGGUGUUCGUGAGAGAGUAAAGGAAAAGCAUUUUGGGAAAAUGGAACAGCAUGUGCAAAGGACUGCAGGCAGGAAAGAGAACGGCCCUUUGAAGGAAACAUGGCUGAAGGCAAAUGAUGGGGGGAAUAGGAUGAGAUGAGGCUGGUGGGCUAAGUGGAGCCAGAUAGGAAGGGACUUGGGGCCCAAAGGAACAAAUCUGGAAUUUCUCCUAAAAGCAGUACCCCUGGUGCCUGCAUCCCAGUUCCUACCCCUAGUUUCCCCUGUAGCUGCGGAGGCAAGCUCCAUGUAAGGUCAGACUUACCCAGCACUGUCAGGAUCCCAUGCAAGCACAGCUGUCCACCUCCUGCCCAGAGCCUUCUCUGAGGCUGCAGGAGGCCCCUUCAACCUUUGCCACAUGGGAAACUCCCAGUGAAUGCAGCACUGGAGCCUGCGUCCAUCCUUCAGACCAACAAUGCUGCAGGUCCUGAGGCCCGAGCUGGAUCCAGUCCCUGUGGUCUGCAGUGAUGCCUCAAUAACACACACCUGCACUGCCUGUCCUUCUUCCGUCUCUCACACUCCCUGCUCACGCCCUCUCAGCGCCUCCCUCCUGGCAUCACCUCCCCAAUAAACUAUCUGCACCUGAAUCCUUGUCUCAGGCUCUGCUUUUGCAGGAGCCCUAACCAAGGGCCCCACGAGAGUUUUGUACAGCAGCAUGGCACGUGCAGGCUGACAUUUUUUAAAGCUCAUGCUGGUUAUUGUGUGGAGAAGACUAUGGGGACAGGAGGAGGCAUGACAAGCAGUGAGGGACACUUGCAGAGGGGCAGUGAGAGGGGCUGGUAGCCGGCACUGGACUGGUGGCAGUGGAAAGAGACAAAUAGGGGAUGGACACAAAUGGGGGUGCUUGGCUCCCCCAAAGAACCAGAGGCUUGAGAGGCAAGGAGGGGUGACAUGGAGGCAAGGAGGGGUGACAUGGAGGCCAGGCUUGGGUCAUGCCUGGCUUUGGGAAUCAGCCUCACCAAGUUCCAUCCCUCCAGCCCCGCCUGGCUGUGAAGACCUGCUGCAAAGGGGUUAUUUUUAGAGAGCUGGGUGUUUACUUGAAGGAUUUAAAGACAGGCUUUAUUUUUAACUCCACUCCCAAUGGCAGGGACUCGCUGGUAUGGACUUAGGAAGUCAAGUGGAAGUUGGACUGGGCUUUGGAAACCCAGAAGAGAGAAGCGGCAUUUGGGGAAGGAUGAAGCUUAAGGGAGACAGCUGGCCUCACCACGUUCUACUCAUCUCGAGCUUCGGACUCGCAACCAGAGGUGGCCCCUGCAGGGGGCUUUUCCAGACCUCCUUGGGACUGCUAGUUGCUCUUUCCGUUGGACCCCAUCAAUUUCAGUUCCUUCCUCCCUCUCCUCCACCACCGACUGUCCAAUCCCCGCGUGGCUUUGCCCUCAACAUGGGAGUCCCCAGACGACGCUGCCCACACUGAUUCACCACUGGGUGCCCAGCGCCCUGGCACAAGCUGGCACAGGAUGAGAUCAUUGAGAUUAGAGAAGAAAAUGGAUCUGGCCAAGGACAUACAACUAAGAAAUGGUGGUGCCACAGAUGGAGAAACUGACACUCAGACAGGCCACUGAUCUGCCCAGGUCAAUGAGCCAAAAAAUGGCAGGGCCAGGAUUUGGCCAUAGGCCUGCUUAACUCUGAAGACCAUGUGCCCAGUCUCUGGCCCAGGCCAUUUACAUCCCCAGGAGGACUGCUACAG